GAUGAACGCUAGCGGCAGGCUUAACACAUGCAAGUCGAGGGGUAACAGGGAGCUUGCUCCGCUGACGACCGGCGCACGGGUGCGUAACGCGUAUAGAAUCUACCUUACACUGAGGGAUAGCCUUUGGAAACGAAGAUUAAUACCUCAUAGUCUAUUUAGAUCUCAUUAUAUAAAUAUUAAAGGUUACGGCAGAAGAUGAGUAUGCGUCCUAUUAGCUUGUUGGUAAGGUAACGGCUUACCAAGGCGACGAUAGGUAGGGGCCCUGAGAGGGGGAUCCCCCACACUGGUACUGAGACACGGACCAGACUCCUACGGGAGGCAGCAGUGAGGAAUAUUGGACAAUGGAGGCAACUCUGAUCCAGCCAUGCCGCGUGCAGGAAGACUGCCCUAUGGGUUGUAAACUGCUUUUAUACGGGAAGAAACACUGCUACGUGUAGCAGCUUGACGGUACCGUAAGAAUAAGGAUCGGCUAACUCCGUGCCAGCAGCCGCGGUAAUACGGAGGAUCCAAGCGUUAUCCGGAAUCAUUGGGUGUAAAGGGUCCGUAGGUGGAUAAUUAAGUCAGAGGUGAAAUCUUGCAGCUCAACUGUAAAAUUGCCUUUGAUACUGGUUAUCUUGAGUUAUUAUGAAGUAGUUAGAAUAUGUAGUGUAGUGGUGAAAUGCAUAGAUAUUACAUAGAAUACCAAUUGCGAAGGCAGAUUACUAAUAAUAUACUGACACUGAUGGACGAAAGCGUGGGUAGCGAACAGGAUUAGAUACCCUGGUAGUCCACGCCGUAAACGAUGGAUACUAGCUGUUCGGACUUAUCCGAGUGGCUAAGCGAAAGUGAUAAGUAUCCCACCUGGGGAGUACGUUCGCAAGAACGAAACUCAAAGUAAUUGACGGGGGCCCGCACAAGCGGUGGAGCAUGUGGUUUAAUUCGAUGAUACGCGAGGAACCUUACCAGGGCUUAAAUGUAAGUUGCAUUAGUUAGAGAUAGCUAUUUCUUCGGACCACUUACAAGGUGCUGCAUGGUUGUCGUCAGCUCGUGCCGUGAGGUGUCAGGUUAAGUCCUAUAACGAGCGCAACCCCUGUUGUUAGUUGCCAGCGAGUUAAUGCUGAGGACUCUAACGAGACUGCCGGUGUAAACCGCGAGGAAGGUGGGGAUGACGUCAAAUCAGCACGGCCCUUAUGUCCAGGGCACACACGUGUUACAAUGGCCAGUACAAUGGGCAGCUACAUGGUGACAUGAUGCUAAUCUCCAAAACUGGUCUGAGUUCGGAUUGAAGUCUGCAACUCGACUUCAUGAAGUUGGAUUCGCUAGUAAUCGCGCAUCAGCCAUGGCGCGGUGAAUACGUUCCCGGGCCUUGUACACACCGCCCGUCAAGCCAUGGAAGCCGGGGGUACCUGAAGUCUGUAACCGUAAGGAGCGGCCUAGGGUAAAUCUGGUAACUA
RNAcentral lists this ribosomal RNA (1433 nucleotides) under uncultured prokaryote. RNAcentral's name for it is "partial 16S ribosomal RNA". It matches the Rfam family "Bacterial small subunit ribosomal RNA". The record is from RNAcentral.